This 426-nucleotide ribosomal RNA is filed under the name uncultured bacterium. RNAcentral describes it as "bacterial SSU rRNA". It matches the Rfam family "Bacterial small subunit ribosomal RNA", at positions 355 to 774 of the family's 1533-position model. The record is from RNAcentral.
UGGGGAAUAUUGGACAAUGGGCGCAAGCCUGAUCCAGCCACGCCGCGUGAGUGAUGAAGGCCUUCGGGUCGUAAAGCUCUGUGGGGAGGGACGAACCGCUGCACGUUCAUAGCGUGCAGCAUGACGGUACCUCCUUAGCAAGCACCGGCUAACUUCGUGCCAGCAGCCGCGGUAAUACGAAGGGUGCAAACGUUGCUCGGAAUUAUUGGGCGUAAAGCGCACGUAGGCGGCUUGACAAGUCGGAUGUGAAAUCCCUCGGCUCAACCAAGGAAGUGCAUCCGAAACUGACAAGCUUGAGUACGGAAGAGGAUAGCGGAAGUCCCGGUGUGGAGGUGAAAUUCGUAGAUGUCGGGAGGAACACCAGUGGCGAGGGCGGCGAUCUGAGUCGAUACUGACGCUGAAAUGCGGAAGCGUGGGAAGCAAACA